GACUAGAGCUAAUAUGCAUUUUAAGUGAGGUCAUCACCCUGUCCAUUUAGAAAUAAUACAGAUAAACCUGAAAAGAGUGACAAAGGUGAUGUUUCUCCCAGUGAGAAGUAUAUCUAUUUAGCUUAUUAGUGAGCAACUUGAAAGGAUAACAUUUCAUCUUCUAGAGAAAUCCUGGUGAAAACGUUUAUUCUACUAGGGGGUUACUUAAUUUAGCAGACAGGCAUAAAAUGUUCUAAUGACUGAAGGCUUCAAUCUGAUAUAUUAAGACUGGAAAAGAGACAUGAUUUUAAAAGGGUCAGAAUAAUUAACCCUGAGAACAAUUUGCACAGGUAUUCGGUAGGUUCUCCUUCACAUAAAAUUUUUAAAUAGCAUUUACAUGUGUUUCUGAAAGCUAAAUUGUAGCUAACAGAAGAUUAUGGAUUCCAUAGCAAUGUGUGUCUGCACAAUGAGCUAAACUUAGGCCUCUCCCACCACCCAGAACAUCCAUCCCUCAAUCUAGACACCUGUAGCUUGAAAUCUUAUGGAGAUCAGGGAUAAGGAUCUUAUGGAUCCUUAGGGUCCAGGAAAAUCAAGGCCUCCAAGGUGAGGUUUUCUUUCAUGCAAGGAU
Long non-coding RNA from Oxyura jamaicensis (ruddy duck), 607 nucleotides. RefSeq lists it as uncharacterized. Lineage: Eukaryota; Metazoa; Chordata; Aves; Anseriformes; Anatidae. The record is from RefSeq and is a predicted model, not a curated record. The transcript is spliced from 3 exons.